This 587-nucleotide ribosomal RNA is filed under the name uncultured bacterium. RNAcentral's name for it is "bacterial SSU rRNA". It matches the Rfam family "Bacterial small subunit ribosomal RNA", at positions 336 to 916 of the family's 1533-position model. The record is from RNAcentral.
CUCCUACGGGAGGCAGCAGUGGGGAAUUUUGGACAAUGGGGGCAACCCUGAUCCAGCAAUGCUGCGUGAGUGAAGAAGGCCUUCGGGUUGUAAAGCUCUUUUGUCCGGGAAGAAAUCCCAUCCUUGAAUACGGGAUGGGGAUGACGGUACUGGAAGAAUAAGCACCGGCUAACUACAUGCCAGCAGCCGCGGUAAUACGUAGGGUGCGAGCGUUAAUCGGAAUUACUGGGCGUAAAGCGUGCGCAGGCGGUUGUGCAAGACCGAUGUGAAAUCCCCGGGCUUAACCUGGGAACUGCAUUGGUGACUGCACGGCUAGAGUGUGUCAGAGGGGGGUAGGAUUCCACGUGUAGCAGUGAAAUGCGUAGAGAUGUGGAGGAAUACCGAUGGCGAAGGCAGCCCCCUGGGAUAACACUGACGCUCAUGCACGAAAGCGUGGGGAGCAAACAGGAUUAGAUACCCUGGUAGUCCACGCCCUAAACGAUGUCAACUAGUUGUCGGGGAUUAAUUUCCUUGGUAACGCAGCUAACGCGUGAAGUUGACCGCCUGAGGAGUACGGUCGCAAGAUUAAAACUCAAAGGAAUUGACGG